CCUACGGGAGGCAGCAGUCGAGAAUCAUUCACAAUGGGGGAAACCCUGAUGGUGCGACGCCGCGUGGGGGAAUGAAGGUCUUCGGAUUGUAAACCCCUGUCAUGUGGGAGCAAAUUAAAAAGAUAGUACCACAAGAGGAAGAGACGGCUAACUCGGUGCCAGCAGCCGCGGUAAUACAGAGGUCUCAAGCGUUGUGCGGAAUCACUGGGCGUAAGGCGUGCGUAGGCUGUUUCGUAAGUCGUGUGUGAAAGGCGCGGGCUCAACCCGCGGACGGCACAUGAUACUGCGAGACUAGAGUAAUGGAGGGGGAACCGGAAUGCUCGGUGUAGCAGUGAAAUGCGUAGAUAUCGAGAGGAACACUCGUGGCGAAGGCGGGUUCCUGGACAUUAACUGACGCUGAGGCACGAAGGCCAGGGGAGCGAAAGGGAUUAGAUACCCCUGUAGUC
This 446-nucleotide ribosomal RNA is filed under the name uncultured bacterium. Its description in RNAcentral is "partial 16S ribosomal RNA". It matches the Rfam family "Bacterial small subunit ribosomal RNA", at positions 338 to 795 of the family's 1533-position model. The record is from RNAcentral.